This is a long non-coding RNA of Sabethes cyaneus, 637 nucleotides long. RefSeq lists it as uncharacterized. The record is from RefSeq and is a predicted model, not a curated record. The transcript is spliced from 3 exons. Lineage: Eukaryota; Metazoa; Arthropoda; Insecta; Diptera; Culicidae.
ACAAAAAUAAAAACAGAAACGUAGUGGACACAAAUCAAACAUAAAUACGUUACAAAAAUUGAUUAGCUCAGAUACUAGUUUCGAUGAUUCACAAUUUACAACACUCAGUGAAAAAACAGCAUUGUUGGCACAUUGUAUAAAAACAAAACACACUUUCAAUCUUCACGACACAACAAUACUCGACCAACACCAGAAUAUGGCAGCACUGCCGAUUCUCGAGAUGUGCCACAUAGCGACAAACACCAACACAGUCAACAAGAGAAGUGACAUCGCAGGCCUUAGUACAACAUACGCCGGCAUCUUUCAUAUACCAUUGUCAACAAUAGCAAACAGAACGCAGGACAAACCGCUGCAUGUGAAUGAUGUGAUGGCGGUAUGAGCAGAAUUGUUUAGUGUGUGAUGUUAGUGUACGUUUCUGUUUUUAUUUUUGUUUUUAUUUAUAUGCAUCCGACAACACCAAUCCAAUGGAUUAUUAUUGAGUUCGCUACAUUGAGUUCGAUGAGCCGAUGUCCAGAGGAGAACUCGAUUUCGGAGAAUACGACGGGGUCAAAGAUGAUUUGUCUCUGAGAAGUUCGUCUUCUUUCAGCAAGAGGUUUAUCAGUCGACAACAAUUUUCGUAGGCCGGAAGACGCAAAGG